Pelobates cultripes (western spadefoot toad) is the source of this 1257-nucleotide non-coding RNA. Lineage: Eukaryota; Metazoa; Chordata; Amphibia; Anura; Pelobatidae. The record is from the annotation of a GenBank genome assembly.
GAUGAGUCCUUAAUGAAAUUUAAGGGUAGAUUACUUUUUAAACAGUAUAUCCCUUCUAAACAGUCCCGAUACGGAGUAAAAUUUUAUAAAUUGUGUGAAUCAAAAUCUGGAUAUACAUGGGCGUUUCGUAUUUAUCAGGGGAAGGAUAGCCAUCUUGACCCACCAGGAUGCCCUGAUUCUGUGGGUACAUGUACAUGUGGGUACAAGAUAGUACAAUGGGUGGACUAUCAGACACAUAAUUGAGAUCAGACCACUGACGUACAGGAACAGAGGGGGUUGAGGACCCUGCUCGAUGAGCUUACAUGCUAGAGGGAGUGGGGUAUAGUGACACAAAGGGUUAAAGUAGGGGAAUUAAAUAGUUUGUUACAGAAGGGUUUAUUGAGUGCUUGCUAGGUCAUUUUUGGCAGUUGCAGGAACGGAGUCAUGGGGUGGGGGAUGAGAAACCUGCUGACAGUUUAAUUGAUACGCUUUAAUGAAGAAGUGAGUUUUCAAAUAUUUUUUGAAGGAGUGGAUGCUGGGUGAAAGUCUGAUUGAGGAGGGAAGGGCGUUCCACAGAAUAGGUUCAGCCCUGGAAAAGUCUUGAAGACGAGCAUCAGAGGUGGGGAUCCGGGAAGAGGAUAGGCGUAGGUCUUGGGCUGAGCGCAGGGGUCUCGACGGGACAUACUUGUGAAUGAGGGAGGAUAGGUAUGUUGGAGCAGCAUUAUGUACCUAUACAUGGAUGUUACUGUUUUACUCAUGAGACAUUUCUGAAUACAAAUAUGUAUGUUUUAUUGCAGUAAAACCAAACAGUAUUGUGACAUUAUCAGUUAAAUUGACAUGCAGAAAUUGAAAAAUAUCAACAUCUCUUAAUUUUUCAAACUUUUUUAGAUUUUAUGCAUAUAAAAUGGAGUUCUAUAUAUGAAUAUUUGAUAUGGAAUGAAAGCCCUGUUUCCCCUGAACAAACCGAUAUAUAAUAAGUGUGGGUGCACUUAGUAUGAAAGAGGUAAAUUAUAGUUGAACAGACAUGGAUUCAAAUUCUGUGGUUUGUUUACAUUUUGUUUUGAUCACAACUUGUACAUUUGGCUCUGUCCUUGAGGGUUUAAAGUUCAAUUUAGAGAUUGAGAUACAAUUAUUUAAGGUAAAUUACAUCUGUUUGAAAGUGAAACCAGUUUUUUUUUUCAUGCAGGCUCUAUCAAUCAUAGCCAGGGGAGGUGUGGCUAGGGCUGCAUAAACAGAAACAAAGUGAUUUAACUUCUAAAUGACAGUGAAUUUAGCAUU